GGCUAACCUUAUGAGCGGUUGGCUGAUUAGAGUCCGGCAUACACGUUGGCUUGGUCCAGAAAUUGCGUUUGGCCAUGUCAAAACACUCCUGAUGGCUUAAUAUCUUUCCUUGAAACACAAGUAAAUUCCUAGCAUACCACAACGUCCAAAUCAAGUUAGCAAACACUUUAUGGACAUCCUUCUCAUUUGACUCUCUGAUCUUUUCAAACCAAUCCAGGAUAGAACAAAUCUCUUCGUUUGGCGUUGGUGGAAGGCGGAGAGGAGAAGCUGACCAAAAGAACCGAGUCCAGCUACAAUCUCUAAGAGCGUGUUCCACCGUUUCAAUGUGAUCGCCGCAUCGAGGACAGGAAGGAUCAACAGAAAUUGACCUUGAGAGUAGAGCUCUAGAAGUGGGCAACGCUUCGACCAGACAUUUCCACAGAAAGAGGCGGACUUUAGGGAUCACCUCCAGAUUCCAAAUCCAGUUAAACAGACGGUCAUUCCCUCCGGACGACGAUGGUUCAUUAGCUUCUCUGAGAUUAUAUGCAAGGGCGUAUCCCGACUUAACAGAGUAGGAGUUACAUUUCCCAGAAGGCCAAAAAGGUCGGUCAGCAGAGGUGAAGUUAGGUUGGAUAUGGUUCGAGAAUUUCCAUAACUCCUCAUUACUGAGAUACUGAGAAAGCUUCGCAGGAUCCCAUUGACCCGUGUCAAGGAGAAGCUCAGACACUCUUGUAUUAUUCCACUCCAAAUGAACACUAGCAGCCCGGAACUUACCAUCCCCCAUCGGAAUCCAAGCAUCAAUACCAAUACGGAUCCGAGCACCAUCUCCAAUACGCCAAGCCAAUCCCUCAAUCAACAGAUCACGUCCUACCAAUAAGCUUCUCCAAGCAAAAGAUGGAUUAUGAGCAUUAUUGGCUAGGAGUAUAUCCGACCUUGGGAAAUACCUCGCUUUAAGAGAACGCGCAAGCAUCGAAGAGUCAUUGAGCAAAAUCCUCCACACUUGUUUAGCAAGCAUAGCCUUGUUGAAAAGAUGGAGGUCCCUAAAACCGAGCCCUCCGUUAUUUUUGGGACCACAAAGCUUCCUCCAGCUUUUCCAAUGAAUACGACGUUCCUCACUCUUUUGACCCCAGAAAAAUCUUGCUGCCACACUAUUGAGUCGAUGGCAAAUCUGAUCCGGCAAAGCGAAACAGCUCAUCAGGUAAGAAGGGAUCGAUUGAAGCACAGACUUGAUGAGUAUUGUUUUUCCAGCCCCCGACAGAAACCGACGCUUCCAAUCUUUAGUUUUUUCCUUGUGCGAUCAACAAGCAUCUGAAAGAUCUCAGUCUUGGAACGACCUACAGUGCUUGGGAUACCAAGAUAGCUUCCAUGUCUUGUCUCACAUCUCACCCCCAACUGGUUAGCCAACUCAACCUUGAUGUCAUCUGUAAUACCUCCACUGAAAGUAACAGCGGAUUUGUCUAGAUUCACCUUCUGACCUGAAACUCCCUCAUAGUGGCCAAGAAUAUUUAGAACAGUUCGUAUCUCUUUUGUGCAGGCACGACCAAAGAUAAUACAAUCAUCAGCGAAAAGCAGAUGACUCACACUUGGCGCAUUCCGACAGAGGCGAGCACCAUGAAUAAGGUUCUGCGUUUCAGCUUGCCUGAGAAGACCUGAAAGAGCUUCAGCACAAAACAAGAAAAGAAACGGUGAAAGGGGGUCUCCUUGCCUCAGACCACGACUAGGAGUGAAAGUCUCUCCAGGUGAACCAUUAACAAGAA
This 1736-nucleotide long non-coding RNA is filed under the name Salvia miltiorrhiza (redroot sage). RNAcentral describes it as "long non-coding RNA (SMIL_LNC007210)". The record is from RNAcentral. Lineage: Eukaryota; Viridiplantae; Streptophyta; Magnoliopsida; Lamiales; Lamiaceae.